GAAUGAGUUCCAGAGCCUAUGCCUCCUCUAGAUCCAAUGCCUCCUCCAGAUCCAAUGUCGCCUCCAGAUCCAACGUUGCUUCCAGAUCCAACGUUGCCUCCAGAUCCAACGUCGCCUCCAGAUCCCAUCCGGGCUCCAGAUCAACAUUCGCAGCCAGAAGGGAAACGAGCAGACAGCAGAGAACAUUUUGGUAUCAUUUACAAGAGUUGAUUUCGCCGGACAUUUAUAUAUAUCUUGCAUUAAUGAUGUCCCUGGCACUAUUUUUUGCUGCAGCUGGGAUGACUGCUUUGUAUCAUCACGAAGCAAACAAAACAGCCAUCCUAAAUAGUGCAGCUGAACGUAUUAAGACAUUUACAAUCGCAAAGGAGCCAUCAGUGAAAGGCAAAAACGAUACAGAAAUACUUGCAAAAACUCAGAAGUUAGCCGAUGAGUUGGCUGUAUGGACCUUAAAGACCAUUCAACUGGAAGCUGCAAUUGAUUUUGGAAAUUUAAUUGGCCAGUGGCGAAAGGAAACUGUACUGUAUUAA
This 527-nucleotide long non-coding RNA is filed under the name Pogona vitticeps (central bearded dragon). RNAcentral describes it as "lncRNA (ENSPVIG00000020657.1)". Lineage: Eukaryota; Metazoa; Chordata; Lepidosauria; Squamata; Agamidae. The record is from RNAcentral.